This is a long non-coding RNA of Malania oleifera, 990 nucleotides long. RefSeq lists it as uncharacterized. The record is from RefSeq and is a predicted model, not a curated record. The transcript has 2 exons. Lineage: Eukaryota; Viridiplantae; Streptophyta; Magnoliopsida; Santalales; Ximeniaceae.
UAUAAAUAUGAAACCCUAGAUUUAGAGUUGUUCCAUGCGGCCAUCACCUUUUCAGCGUGCUGUGUCUACACCCUACCCUCUACACUUAACCUUCUCUUCUCCCUUCGGCCCUCCACAAUUCCACUCCACUAUUCUGCCCGCACGACCAGUCGUCGACCGCGAAGGGAGGUUGGCAUUCGGCAUUCACAGAUCGCUGCACAGCCUUUGUCCUGCUCGACCACCAAGGCUUUUCCUCUCUCUCGUAACGUUAAUCAGUUAAUCAGCUCUCCGUAGAGCUCGAUUUAUCUCUCUCUAUUGCUUGAUAUUUUUCUGUUUAAUUUCGAUUUGAAUCUACUCCUGAUUUCAUUUUGUUUGUUGUUGGCAUUGUUAUGAACUAUGGAUCUUGUGGGUAUUAUGCGGCUGUUCAGGUUCUCUCUUCAUUUCCUGUUUGGAUGUGGCUGGUCUUGUUGAACGGCCGCAAUGAGUCCAUCCCUUAUCAUUUUGCUUACUCUUUGACGGAUUUUUUAAUAAGAAAUUUUAAUGUAAUUUUUUUCUUUUUUUUUUCACCGCACAACCUCGGAUACCACGCGCAAAAACGCGGAUGCUACAGUCAAGAUCUAGAUUACGGUUUCCGGUUCACGCUAUAAAUUGCUCUUCAAGCCAUUCAGGUUUUAGAUCCAGCUAUCAGUUCCGUUCUUAGGAUCUAUUAUGAGCUGCUUGGGUAGCAAACAGUUUUCGCAGUCGUGCACAUAAGGUCCUUCGAGUACGCGAAACUAGCUUCCUAACGUUCGGGAGCGUGGGUGUCGGUUAGUUAUGUAUAGUACUUGAGUAAGUAUUGAUUUUUGUAACUAGGUUGUUAUUGUUGGGUUUGUAGAUACCUGGGGUAUGUACUGUAUUUUGGAGCGUAGACUUUAGAUAUGUUUAGACUCUGGUAUGGUACGCUAUAUGUAUUAGAAAGAAUAUUUUUGCCGCGUAUUUGAUAUGUAUAUAUGUGUAUAUGAUUGUGUAUAG